This 91-nucleotide transfer RNA is filed under the name Clostridiales bacterium. RNAcentral's name for it is "tRNA-Ser". It matches the Rfam family "tRNA". From Rfam's summary of the family: Transfer RNA (tRNA) molecules are approximately 80 nucleotides in length. Their secondary structure includes four short double-helical elements and three loops (D, anti-codon, and T loops). Lineage: Bacteria; Bacillati; Bacillota; Clostridia; Eubacteriales. The record is from RNAcentral.
GCAGAAGUACUCAAGUGGUCGAAGAGGCUUCCCUGCUAAGGAAGUAGGACGGGUAACUGUCGCGAGGGUCCGAAUCCCUCCUUCUGCGCCA